GAUGAACGCUGGCGGCGUGCCUAAUACAUGCAAGUCGAGCGAACAGAUAAGGAGCUUGCUCCUUUGACGUUAGCGGCGGACGGGUGAGUAACACGUGGAUAACCUACCUAUAAGACUGGGAUAACUUCGGGAAACCGGAGCUAAUACCGGAUAACAUAUUGAACCGCAUGGUUCAAUAGUGAAAGGCGGCUUUGCUGUCACUUAUAGAUGGAUCCGCGCCGUAUUAGCUAGUUGGUAAGGUAACGGCUUACCAAGGCAACGAUACGUAGCCGACCUGAGAGGGUGAUCGGCCAAACUGGAACUGAGACACGGUCCAGACUCCUACGGGAGGCAGCAGUAGGGAAUCUUCCGCAAUGGGCGAAAGCCUGACGGAGCAACGCCGCGUGAGUGAUGAAGGUCUUCGGAUCGUAAAACUCUGUUAUCAGGGAAGAACAAAUGUGUAAGUAACUGUGCACAUCUUGACGGUACCUGAUCAGAAAGCCACGGCUAACUACGUG
This 497-nucleotide ribosomal RNA is filed under the name uncultured bacterium. Its description in RNAcentral is "partial 16S ribosomal RNA". It matches the Rfam family "Bacterial small subunit ribosomal RNA", at positions 28 to 507 of the family's 1533-position model. The record is from RNAcentral.